CGACCUCGGAUUAGACGUGAUACCCGCUGAACUUAAGCAUAUCACUAA
This 48-nucleotide ribosomal RNA is filed under the name Xystretrum solidum. RNAcentral describes it as "partial 28S ribosomal RNA". Lineage: Eukaryota; Metazoa; Platyhelminthes; Trematoda; Plagiorchiida; Gorgoderidae. The record is from RNAcentral.